ACUUUUAAUGGACGGCAGCCGUCCGA
Molecule: transfer RNA, 26 nt
Filed under: Agama lionotus
Lineage: Eukaryota; Metazoa; Chordata; Lepidosauria; Squamata; Agamidae
Description: partial tRNA-Leu
Source: RNAcentral